RNAcentral lists this ribosomal RNA (2268 nucleotides) under Acinetobacter towneri DSM 14962 = CIP 107472. RNAcentral's name for it is "bacterial LSU rRNA". It matches the Rfam family "Bacterial large subunit ribosomal RNA", at positions 678 to 2925 of the family's 2925-position model. Lineage: Bacteria; Pseudomonadati; Pseudomonadota; Gammaproteobacteria; Moraxellales; Moraxellaceae. The record is from RNAcentral.
CGAGUCUUAAUAGGGCGUAUAGUUGCUGGGUAUAGACCCGAAACCGGGUGAUCUAUCCAUGAGCAGGUUGAAGGUUGGGUAACACUAACUGGAGGACCGAACCCACUGUCGUUGAAAAGCCAGGGGAUGACUUGUGGAUAGGGGUGAAAGGCUAAUCAAACUCGGUGAUAGCUGGUUCUCCCCGAAAGCUAUUUAGGUAGCGCCUCGGACGAAUACCAUUGGGGGUAGAGCACUGUUUCGGCUAGGGGGUCAUCCCGACUUACCAAACCGAUGCAAACUCCGAAUACCAAUGAGUACUAUCCGGGAGACAGACUGCGGGUGCUAACGUCCGUAGUCAAGAGGAAAACAAUCCAGACCGCCAGCUAAGGCCCCAAAAUCAUAGUUAAGUGGGAAACGAUGUGGGAAGGCAUAGACAGCUAGGAGGUUGGCUUAGAAGCAGCCACCCUUUAAAGAAAGCGUAAUAGCUCACUAGUCGAGUCGGCCUGCGCGGAAGAUGUAACGGGGCUAAAACUAUGUGCCGAAGCUGCGGAUGUAUACUUUGUAUACGUGGUAGGGGAGCGUUCUGUAAGCCGACGAAGGUGGAUUGAGAAGUCUGCUGGAGGUAUCAGAAGUGCGAAUGCUGACGUGAGUAACGACAAAACGGGUGAAAAACCCGUUCGCUGAAAGACCAAGGGUUCCAGUCCAACGUUAAUCGGGGCUGGGUGAGUCGACCCCUAAGGCGAGGCCGAGAGGCGUAGUCGAUGGGAAAUUGGUUAAUAUUCCAAUACUUCAGUGUAAUGCGAUGAGAGGACGGAGAAGGUUAAGUCAGCCUGGCGUUGGUAGUCCAGGUGAAAGGAAGUAGGCAUGCAUCUUAGGCAAAUCCGGGGUGCUCUAUGCUGAGAUCUGAUAGCAAGCUGUACUUGUACAGUGAAGUGGCUGAUACCCUGCUUCCAGGAAAAGUCUCUAAGCUUCAGUUACACUGGAAUCGUACCCGAAACCGACACAGGUGGUCAGGUCGAGUAGACCAAAGCGCUUGAGAGAACUCUGCUGAAGGAACUAGGCAAAAUGGUACCGUAACUUCGGGAGAAGGUACGCUGUUGAUGGUGAUAGGACUCGCUCCUUGAGCUGUCGACAGCCUCAGAAACCAGGCCGCUGCAACUGUUUAUUAAAAACAUAGCACUCUGCAAACACGAAAGUGGACGUAUAGGGUGUGAUGCCUGCCCGGUGCUGGAAGGUUAAUUGAUGGGGUUAGCGUAAGCGAAGCUCUUGAUCGAAGCCCCAGUAAACGGCGGCCGUAACUAUAACGGUCCUAAGGUAGCGAAAUUCCUUGUCGGGUAAGUUCCGACCUGCACGAAUGGCAUAAUGAUGGCGGCGCUGUCUCCAGCAGAGGCUCAGUGAAAUCGAAUUCGCCGUGAAGAUGCGGUGUACCCGCGGCUAGACGGAAAGACCCCGUGAACCUUUACUGCAGCUUGACAUUGAACUUUGACCUUACUUGUGUAGGAUAGGUGGGAGGCUUUGAAGAUGGGACGCCAGUUCCAUUGGAGCCGUCCUUGAAAUACCACCCUGGUAAUGUUGAGGUUCUAACUCUGUCCCGUUAUCCGGGACGAGGACCAUGUCUGGUGGGUAGUUUGACUGGGGCGGUCUCCUCCUAAAGAGUAACGGAGGAGUACGAAGGUGCGCUCAGCGUGGUCGGAAAUCACGCGUAGAGUAUAAAGGCAAAAGCGCGCUUAACUGCGAGACCCACAAGUCGAGCAGGUACGAAAGUAGGUCUUAGUGAUCCGGUGGUUCUGUAUGGAAGGGCCAUCGCUCAACGGAUAAAAGGUACUCUGGGGAUAACAGGCUGAUACCGCCCAAGAGUUCAUAUCGACGGCGGUGUUUGGCACCUCGAUGUCGGCUCAUCUCAUCCUGGGGCUGAAGCAGGUCCCAAGGGUAUGGCUGUUCGCCAUUUAAAGAGGUACGCGAGCUGGGUUUAGAACGUCGUGAGACAGUUCGGUCCCUAUCUACCGUGGGCGCUGGAAAUUUGAGAGGAUCUGCUCCUAGUACGAGAGGACCAGAGUGGACGAACCUCUGGUGUACCGGUUGUGACGCCAGUCGCAUCGCCGGGUAGCUAUGUUCGGAAGGGAUAACCGCUGAAAGCAUCUAAGCGGGAAGCCUACCUCAAGAUAAGAUUUCCCCGAGGCUUUAUGCCUCCUAAAGAGCCGUUGAAGACUACGACGUUGAUAGGUUGGAUGUGGAAGCAUAGCGAUAUGUGAAGCUGACCAAUACUAAUUGCUCGUGAGGCUUGACUAU